UCGAGCGAACUGACGAGGAGCUUGCUCCUUUGACGUUGCGGCGGACGGGUGAGUAACACGUGGGUAACCUACCUAUAAGACUGGAAUAACUCCGGGAAACCGGGGCUAAUGCCGGAUAACAUGUUGAACCGCAGGGUUCAACAGUGAAAGACGGUCUUGCUGUCACUUAUAGAUGGACCCGCGCCGUAUUAGCUAGUUGGUAAGGUAACGGCUUACCAAGGCGACAAUACGUAGCCAACCUGAGAGGGUGAUCGGCCACACUGGAACUGAGACACGGUCCAGACUCCUACGGGAGGCAGCAGUAGGGAAUCUUCCGCAAUGGGCGAAAGCCUGACGGAGCAACGCCGCGUGAGUGAUGAAGGUCUUCGGAUCGUAAAGCUCUGUUGUUAGGGAAGAACAUAUGUGUAAGUAACUGUGCACAUCUGGACGGUACCUAACCAGAAAGCCACGGCUAACUACGUGCCAGCAGCCGCGGUAAUACGUAGGUGGCAAGCGUUAUCCGGAAUUAUUGGGCGUAAAGCGCGCGUAGGCCGUUUUUUAAGUCUGAUGUGAAAGCCCACGGCUCCAACCGUGGAGGGUCAUUGGAAACUGGAAAACUUGAGUGCAGAAGAAGAAAGUGGAAUUUCCAUUGUGUAGCCGUGAAAUGCGCAGAAGAUUAUGGAGGAACCACCCAGUGGCCGAAGGCGGCUUUCUGGUCUCGUAACUGACGCUGAAGUGCCAAAGCCUUGGGGAUCAAACCAGGAUUAGAUACCCUGGUAGUUCCACGCCCUAAACGAUGAAUGCUAAGUGUUAGGGGGUUUUCCGCCCCCUAGGUCCUCCAGCCUAACCCAUUAAGCACUUCCGCCCUGGGAAGUACCGUCGCAAGGACGGAAACUCAAAAGAAAUGACGGGGAACCGCACAAGCGGUGGAGCCAUGUGGUUUAAUUUCGAAGCCACGCGGAGAACCUUACCAAAUUCUUGACAUCUUUUGACCCGCUCUAAAAAAAGAAUUUUCCUCUUUCGAAGGCAAAAAUGACAGGUGGUGCAAGGUUGUCGUUCAGCUCGUGUCGGGAGAAGGUGGGUUAAAUCCCGCCACCGAGCGCCACCCCUUAGGCUAGUUGCACUCCAUUAAUUGGGCCAUCCAAAUUGGAUUCCGGUGGCCAACCGGAGGAAAGUGGGGAAGAAGUCAAAUUAUCCAUCCCCUUUAGAAUUUGGGUACCCCACUGGUACCAAGGACCAAACAAAAGGCAAGGAAACCCGGAAGUCCAGCAAAUUCCAAAAAAUUGUUUUCCAUUUGGAAUGUUGUUUGCAAAUUGGAUACCAGAAAGCGGGAACGGUUGUUAUUGUAGAUUAACCUGGUUCGGGGAAUACCUUCCCCGGUUUUGGACCCCCCCCCCCUCCCCCCCCGAGAAUUUGGUACCCCCGAAGCCCGUGGGUACCCAUUGGAGCUAGCCUCGAAGUGACA
This 1444-nucleotide ribosomal RNA is filed under the name Staphylococcus sp. RNAcentral describes it as "partial 16S ribosomal RNA". It matches the Rfam family "Bacterial small subunit ribosomal RNA". The record is from RNAcentral. Lineage: Bacteria; Bacillati; Bacillota; Bacilli; Caryophanales; Staphylococcaceae.